AGGAUCUUUUUUUUUAUUUAUUUAUUUAUUUAUUUAUUUAUUUGUAUGAUUUAGGUACCUCGGUCUCUGGAAGCAUCGUUUUGGGAGGGAGCGACACUGGUACCUCCAGGACCGCCCAGCCGGGCGCUUAGGUAUACGUGGAAUUUCCUCCUGCAUUGCUGAAUUUCCUUUUGUGCAGACUUUCUCCUUGGAGUUGAAGCCCUUUUGUUAUUUCAAGUAACGAACAAAUCGACACAACUUUGUACCUACUUAAAACUUUGAAGAUUAUAAUUAGCACAUAUAUGGGAAAAGAUCUAAGACAUACACGCUCUUUAGAAGAAAGACAGAUGCCUGUAUUGCUUGAUUAAAACCUUACUGUCUGCUACACCAGUUACACUGAUUAGAAUUUACUCCUUCAUUAACAGUGUCUUAAAAAAAUAAUUAUAUUUAUGUUGAGAUACUUAUGGCCUGUUAUACCUCUUAUUUCCUCAGUAAUAUUUAGUAACUGUUCCCUUCAUAUCCUGCCCAUAUUCAAGGGCCUGGUGGAAAGCAGGUAUAACAAUUAGGUGCUGCUGCUAUAUGCUUAUUGCUUUUUAUAUUUCAGAUGUAAAAACAUGAGAAGUAGAACAUGAGUCUCUUGAGAUAGGUUGAGGCCUCUUGAUGAAUGGUGAAUUCAACAAAAGCUUUAAAACCAGCCUCCUCACUAUGAUAUUUACUACUCAACACCCACACAAAACUGGGAUCCUUCCCCCAGGUGCAGGGGCGUGAAUAGAGGGGAGAGGUUCCCUUGGAAUGAAAAAAUGAUAUUAGAGGAUACUGAGAUUGUAUCAUGACAGACAUGAUGCAAGAAGCCAAACAGAUUAAACAGAAGAACAAAACAAAUAAUUCUAAUUCCAGUGAAUCAUCAGAGCUUUGGAUUUGUUUUAUGUAAGUGGUUGGUUUCAAAUGAUAACUACAGAUGGGGUAAUGGAAGACUAAUGGAAGACUCUGGUUGGUAGUCCUUUCCUUAGAACAGUGGUACAAAGAUAACAUCCUUUAACAGAGGAAGUUUUUGUUAUCCCAUUAUCUUAUUUCUCAAUUAAAUACUUGUCACACUAGAAUCCAUGCUCUGACAUUACUAUUUCCUUCUCUUUUGUACCUGACCAUUUUGAUUCUUAAUUCGCUUGUGUGUAAAUAUAUGUGUAUUUAGAAAGGCAUGCUGAUGUAAGUACAAUGAAGAGAAAAAAAAAACACAUCUAAGAAUGUUAUAUAUUUUCAUGCUUGCAGAUUACCAGGGAUGCAUAAAAUACACGUUUUGUAUUACCUGAUUUAAAAGCCUAAACUUGCAAUAACAAAAUAACAAAUCACAUGCCUGAAGUCCUGUCCUCUGAAGUGAAGCCUGAAGUGAAAUUAAUAUUAUGCUUUCCUCUAUAUUUUGCUGUACAUUGGAUUCAUUUGGUUAUACAGAUGCUUUGAUAGCUUUUAAGAAAUAUUUUGAAAUAUGUGCAUCCACUGUACUAAAGAUAAUAACAACACAUUAACUUUCAAUAGUUGUAUCUUUCUAACAAAGUAGAAAAUAAAGUUUAAUUAAAAAAAUGUGA
This is a non-coding RNA of Anas platyrhynchos (mallard), 1559 nucleotides long. Lineage: Eukaryota; Metazoa; Chordata; Aves; Anseriformes; Anatidae. The record is from RefSeq and is a predicted model, not a curated record.